This 561-nucleotide ribosomal RNA is filed under the name uncultured Actinomycetes bacterium. RNAcentral's name for it is "bacterial SSU rRNA". It matches the Rfam family "Bacterial small subunit ribosomal RNA", at positions 344 to 916 of the family's 1533-position model. The record is from RNAcentral. Lineage: Bacteria; Bacillati; Actinomycetota; Actinomycetes.
GGAGGCAGCAGUAGGGAAUAUUGGGCAAUGGGCGCAAGCCUGACCCAGCGACGCCGCGUGAGGGAUGAAGGUCUUCGGAUUGUAAACCUCUUUCAGUAGGGAAGAAGCGAAAGUGACGGUACCUAAAGAAGAAGCACCGGCUAACUAUGUGCCAGCAGCCGCGGUAAUACAUAGGGUGCAAGCGUUGUCCGGAAUUAUUGGGCGUAAAGAGCUCGUAGGUCGUUUGUCGCGUCGAUUGUGAAAAUCUGAGGCUCAACCUCAGACCUGCAGUCGAUACGGGCAAACUAGAGUGUGGUAGGGGAGACUGGAAUUCCUGGUGUAGCGGUGGAAUGCGCAGAUAUCAGGAGGAACACCAAUGGCGAAGGCAGGUCUCUGGGCCAUAACUGACACUGAGGAGCGAAAGUGCGGGGAGCGAACAGGAUUAGAUACCCUGGUAGUCCGCACCGUAAACGGUGGGCACUAGUUGUGGGAACCUUCCACGGUUUCCGCGACGCAGCAAACGCAUUAAGUGCCCCGCCUGGGGAGUACGAUCGCAAGAUUAAAACUCAAAGGAAUUGACGG